RNAcentral lists this ribosomal RNA (1489 nucleotides) under Lactiplantibacillus plantarum. RNAcentral's name for it is "bacterial SSU rRNA". It matches the Rfam family "Bacterial small subunit ribosomal RNA". Lineage: Bacteria; Bacillati; Bacillota; Bacilli; Lactobacillales; Lactobacillaceae. The record is from RNAcentral.
GACGAACGCUGGCGGCGUGCCUAAUACAUGCAAGUCGAACGAACUCUGGUAUUGAUUGGUGCUUGCAUCAUGAUUUACAUUUGAGUGAGUGGCGAACUGGUGAGUAACACGUGGGAAACCUGCCCAGAAGCGGGGGAUAACACCUGGAAACAGAUGCUAAUACCGCAUAACAACUUGGACCGCAUGGUCCGAGUUUGAAAGAUGGCUUCGGCUAUCACUUUUGGAUGGUCCCGCGGCGUAUUAGCUAGAUGGUGAGGUAACGGCUCACCAUGGCAAUGAUACGUAGCCGACCUGAGAGGGUAAUCGGCCACAUUGGGACUGAGACACGGCCCAAACUCCUACGGGAGGCAGCAGUAGGGAAUCUUCCACAAUGGACGAAAGUCUGAUGGAGCAACGCCGCGUGAGUGAAGAAGGGUUUCGGCUCGUAAAACUCUGUUGUUAAAGAAGAACAUAUCUGAGAGUAACUGUUCAGGUAUUGACGGUAUUUAACCAGAAAGCCACGGCUAACUACGUGCCAGCAGCCGCGGUAAUACGUAGGUGGCAAGCGUUGUCCGGAUUUAUUGGGCGUAAAGCGAGCGCAGGCGGUUUUUUAAGUCUGAUGUGAAAGCCUUCGGCUCAACCGAAGAAGUGCAUCGGAAACUGGGGAACUUGAGUGCAGAAGAGGACAGUGGAACUCCAUGUGUAGCGGUGAAAUGCGUAGAUAUAUGGAAGAACACCAGUGGCGAAGGCGGCUGUCUGGUCUGUAACUGACGCUGAGGCUCGAAAGUAUGGGUAGCAAACAGGAUUAGAUACCCUGGUAGUCCAUACCGUAAACGAUGAAUGCUAAGUGUUGGAGGGUUUCCGCCCUUCAGUGCUGCAGCUAACGCAUUAAGCAUUCCGCCUGGGGAGUACGGCCGCAAGGCUGAAACUCAAAGGAAUUGACGGGGGCCCGCACAAGCGGUGGAGCAUGUGGUUUAAUUCGAAGCUACGCGAAGAACCUUACCAGGUCUUGACAUACUAUGCAAAUCUAAGAGAUUAGACGUUCCCUUCGGGGACAUGGAUACAGGUGGUGCAUGGUUGUCGUCAGCUCGUGUCGUGAGAUGUUGGGUUAAGUCCCGCAACGAGCGCAACCCUUAUUAUCAGUUGCCAGCAUUAAGUUGGGCACUCUGGUGAGACUGCCGGUGACAAACCGGAGGAAGGUGGGGAUGACGUCAAAUCAUCAUGCCCCUUAUGACCUGGGCUACACACGUGCUACAAUGGAUGGUACAACGAGUUGCGAACUCGCGAGAGUAAGCUAAUCUCUUAAAGCCAUUCUCAGUUCGGAUUGUAGGCUGCAACUCGCCUACAUGAAGUCGGAAUCGCUAGUAAUCGCGGAUCAGCAUGCCGCGGUGAAUACGUUCCCGAGCCUUGUACACACCGCCCGUCACACCAUGAGAGUUUGUAACACCCAAAGUCGGUGGGGUAACCUUUUAGGAACCAGCCGCCUAAGGUGGGACAGAUGAUUAGGGUG